This 1492-nucleotide ribosomal RNA is filed under the name Ureaplasma miroungigenitalium. RNAcentral describes it as "16S ribosomal RNA". It matches the Rfam family "Bacterial small subunit ribosomal RNA". Lineage: Bacteria; Bacillati; Mycoplasmatota; Mycoplasmoidales; Mycoplasmoidaceae. The record is from RNAcentral.
GGAUUAACGCUGGCGGCAUGCCUAAUACAUGCAAAUCGAACGAGGUUAGUUUACUAACCUAGUGGUGAACGGGUGAGUAACAAGUAUCCAAUCUGCCCUUAAGAUGGGAAUAACUGACCGAAAGGUUAGCUAAUGCCCAAUAAUAACAUUCUUAUCGCAUGAGAAAAUGUAGAAAGACGCCUUUAAAGCGUCGCUUUUGGAUGAGGRUGCUCCGUAUCAGAUAGUUGGUAGGGUAAAAGCCUACCAAGUCUAUGACGCGUAGCUGUACUGAGAGGUAGAACAGCCACAAUGGGACUGAGACACGGCCCAUACUCCUACGGGAGGCAGCAGUAGGGAAUUUUUCACAAUGGGCGCAAGCCUUAUGAAGCAAUGCCGCGUGAACGACGAAGGUCUUAUAGAUUGUAAAGUUCUUUUAUUUGGGAAGAAACGUUAUGAUAGGAAAUGAUUAUAACUUGACUGUACCUUUUGAAUAAGUAUCGGCUAACUAUGUGCCAGCAGCCGCGGUAAUACAUAGGAUGCAAGCGUUAUCCGGAUUUACUGGGCGUAAAACGAGCGCAGGCGGAUCUGCAAGUUUGGUAUUAAAUCUAUGUGCUCAACGCAUAGCUGUAUCAAAAACUGCAAAUCUAGAGUGUAGUAGAGAGUUGGGGAACUCCAUGUGGAGCGGUAAAAUGCGUAGAUAUAUGGAAGAACACCGGCGGCGAAGGCGCCAACUUAGACUAACACUGACGCUUAGGCUCGAAAGUGUGGGGAUCAAAUAGGAUUAGAUACCCUAGUAGUCCACACUGUAAACGAUCAUCAUUAAAUGUCGGCACGAACGUGUCGGUGUUGAAGCUAACGCAUUAAAUGAUGUGCCUGGGUAGUACAUUCGCAAGAAUGAAACUCAAACGGAAUUGACGGGGACCCGCACAAGUGGUGGAGCAUGUUGCUUAAUUUGACAAUACACGUAAAACCUUACCUAGGUUUGACAUCGAUUGCAAAGCUAUAGAAAUAUAGUAGAGGUUAACAAUCUGACAGGUGGUGCAUGGUUGUCGUCAGCUCGUGUCGUGAGAUGUUGGGUUAAGUCCCGCAACGAGCGCAACCCCUUUCGUUAGUUAUUUUUUAACGAUACUGCUACUGCAAAGUAGAGGAAGGUGGGGAUGACGUCAAAUCAUCAUGCCCCUUAUAUCUAGGGCUGCAAACGUGCUACAAUGGUUGAGACAAACUGCUGCAAAACUGUAAAGUCAAGCAAAUCAGACAAAAUCAAUCUCAGUUCGGAUAGAGGGCUGCAAUUCGCCCUCUUGAAGUUGGAAUCACUAGUAAUCGCGAAUCAGACAUGUCGCGGUGAAUACGUUCUCGGGUCUUGUACACACCGCCCGUCAAACUAUGGGAGCUGAUAAUAUCUGAAACCGUACUGUUAACCGCAAGGAGGCAUACGUCUAGGGUAGGAUUGGUGACUGGAGUUAAGUCGUAACAAGGUAUCCCUACGAGAACGUGGGGAUGGAUCACCUCCUUU